Felis catus (domestic cat) is the source of this 1675-nucleotide long non-coding RNA. RefSeq lists it as uncharacterized. The transcript is spliced from 4 exons. NCBI's taxonomy places the organism in Eukaryota, Metazoa, Chordata, Mammalia, Carnivora, Felidae. The record is from RefSeq and is a predicted model, not a curated record.
CCCGGGAAGGCUCCGUCCUACGUGGACCAAUUUCCUGGGGACUGUGGUGGAACAGCUCCGCUGCCGUUGGAAGCACUUAAAACUAAACCAGAAAAAAGACCAGAAAAUUCUUCAGCAUUGCCUGAACCCAGCGAGGGCAGACCCUUGUAGGGACAAAACCCGGCAGAGGCUGGUGAAGGAAAGCCAGUGGCUGGACUGGAAGCCUUGGAAUAGGGCGAGGCUCAGCUGGAGGCCCAGUAAGGGAAGAUUAACUCGGCCGGUCUAAGCUCUGGCUGGCCCGGCUCCUGCUCACCCCACUGGAGCCUUCAGCUGGGGGUGGGGGGGGUUGUGGAAGGUGCGGGUCCGUCUGUCCCUUGGGAUCUGAUGGGCCUGGAGGAUGCCCCCCGCCCGCAAGCCCCUGCUGGGAUGCUAAUCUCAUCCUGCUAAUUAAAGUUUGCAGUUCUGUCCCUAACUCAGCUCCCCACUCUUGAACAGUAUUAGCUGAGUUGCAAACAAUUGCUGGUCCAGACAGAAGCCAGAGGAAAAAGGCCUCUGGAGUUCACGUUCUAAAGAUAAAAAACGGAUUUGAAAAAUGUUUAUACUUGUAAACAAACGACUCCUAAUGAACAGAGCGAGUUUUGGAAACUGAAUUUUCAGAACCACCCCCCCCAUCCCCCCGCCGUCCCAGCCUGUUUUGUGGUGGUUUCCCCCACCACCUCCCCGACCCCCGUUCCAAGGACACGAGGCUUGGGAUUUGGUGGAUUUGGUCACUGCAGCCCCUCUUGGUCUCUUGACCUCAGAUGAUCAACCAGCGCUCCCCCAGGCCCAGGAUCGCCUCUCCAGGCCGUCUGGAGUCUAAAGCGACAAGCCAGUUCCCCACUAAGACGUGUGGGUCUGGGGCACCACGGCAAGAUAAAGUUAUCUUCAGCUCUGUCCCAGCGUCCACCAGUUUGGAGCUGCAGGAGUCCUCCCUUGAGCGCAUGAAUCAGAAGUCGGGCUCCCAGAAAAGAGAAUACCCCACCCCCAGUCCUUCCCCAGUCCUUUGCUGCCAGCGCUGUGAUAGGGGAAGGCAGGACCGCCCUCCACUCCUCCCCAUGGGCUGGCCUUCCAAGCAACACUCAUCUCUGGGAGCAGGUUUAGAGUUUAGCUGAUGUGAAAGUCCUGCCCCUGGGCAGUGUUUGAAUAGGACCGAAACGACAGAUGACAGCCAGCGCCGUCCAGAACUAGGAGCACGUUGGAGAUGAUGCAGACCAACCACUCCUGCUUCCCUAUCUUACAGGUCUGGAGACCAGGAUUCCAGGAUGAGAUGUCAGCAGGGCCGUGCUCCCUCUGGAGGUGCCAGAGAAGGAACGUUCCAGGCCUCUCUCUGGGCUUCCGGUGCCUCAGGGAGCGCAAUGGACAGAAGACAGGUGGAUGGCCCCCUGUUUGAAUGUGAUCUUUCUCCACCAGACCCUUGGUGGCUCCGGGAAGCUGUGUCACAGGCUGGGCAGAAGAGCAGAGUCAGGCUGGCCUGGCCUUUCUUCCGCGAGCCCAUAGCAUAGGCUGAGCAAGCCCCCACCCCAGAAAGCCAGCCGGUCUCUGGCGGAAGACGGGCAGGGCCAGGCCGCUGGUGUUUUCCUUACCGGACACGACGACCCCACCUCCCUUCUCAGCCUAUCUUUCUCUAGCUUUCGGGGGAGCGAGACUGACCAUGACC